Long non-coding RNA from Vigna radiata var. radiata (mung bean), 429 nucleotides. RefSeq lists it as uncharacterized. The transcript has 3 exons. The record is from RefSeq and is a predicted model, not a curated record. NCBI's taxonomy places the organism in Eukaryota, Viridiplantae, Streptophyta, Magnoliopsida, Fabales, Fabaceae.
GUGUUUCUCUAGCUUUUCUGUCAGGAAAUAGAAAGACUUGGAGAAAGCACAAUCCUUGUUACUGCAGAAACCCUAAAUUUAAGCCAAAGAAAACAACAUUCUCCAAACACUGAAAAUGAGUCACGAUCAAAACCAGCCUCAAGUUUGGAAUUCUGCUGUAGCAAAUGAGUCAAAGGGCACUGCACCACCUCCACCUGUAAUAAUUGUCGAGGAUAAGGUUGAAGAAACGAAAUUCAAGGGUGAUGGCUUUUGGAGAGGAUGUUGUGCUGGAAUUUGUUGCUACUGUUGUUUGGACAUUUGCUUCUGAGAUAUCGGGAAUAUACUAUGCAUAUAGUAGUGCAAGUAUUAUAUUUCUGAAUAAAAAGUAUAUGUUUGUGCGUGUAAUAUUAUAAGGUUUCAAUAUCUAUGGAAUCUACAUGUAUAAUUAAA